AACUGGAGGGUCAGUGCACAGGAUGUGUUGAACGCUAGACAGCAUUAGAGGAGGUUUAUCCCCAGACAGACAACACUCCUUGGGUCUGUCUCUUUGUUAAUUUAUGGCGUCUUUUUCUGACUCUUUCUAAGUGUCUUGUGUUGCUUUACCUUUUCGGACUCUUUCUAAGUGUCUUGUGUUGCUUUACCUACGUUUAUGGUGUCUUUGUCAAUUUAGGGUGUCUUUUCUGACUCUUUCUUUCUAAGUGUCUUCUGUUACGCAUCAUAAAAUACGGUAGAACGAUAUGUCAUUCCUUAUUACAUAUGGC
Molecule: long non-coding RNA, 307 nt
Filed under: Eutrema salsugineum
Lineage: Eukaryota; Viridiplantae; Streptophyta; Magnoliopsida; Brassicales; Brassicaceae
Description: long non-coding RNA (ESAL_LNC001115)
Source: RNAcentral